UUCUUAUGGAGAAAAACAUAAGUAUCACCUGCUCAAUGAAAUUAAAUAGCUGCAGGAGACUGUACUAAGGUAGCAUAAUCAUUAGUUUAUUAAUUGUAAACUUGAAUGAAUGGUGGAAUGAAUUGGAACUAGUAUUUUUAUAAAUAAUUGAAAUUUAAUUUUUAGUAAAAAUGCUAAAAUAUUAUUUAGGGACAAGAAGACCCUAUAAAGCUUUAAAAUAAUUUUUAUAUUAAAUAAAUAAGUUUUUUUGUUGGGGAAAUAAAGUAAGAAAAAAUUUUACUUUUGAGCCAAAAUUUUUGAAUAUAAGAUUAAGUUACUUUAGGGAUAACAGCAUAAUAAAGGGAAUGAAGUUCUUAUUUUUUCCCUUGAUUGUGACCUCGAUGUUGGAUUAAUAAGUUCAUUUAGGAGAAAUAGCUUAAAUUGAUAGUCUGUUCGACUAUUAAAUUAUUACA
This 452-nucleotide ribosomal RNA is filed under the name Neogovea virginie. Its description in RNAcentral is "partial 16S ribosomal RNA". It matches the Rfam family "Bacterial large subunit ribosomal RNA", at positions 1830 to 2600 of the family's 2925-position model. Lineage: Eukaryota; Metazoa; Arthropoda; Arachnida; Opiliones; Neogoveidae. The record is from RNAcentral.